RNAcentral lists this ribosomal RNA (447 nucleotides) under uncultured bacterium. Its description in RNAcentral is "partial 16S ribosomal RNA". It matches the Rfam family "Bacterial small subunit ribosomal RNA", at positions 29 to 523 of the family's 1533-position model. The record is from RNAcentral.
AGCGAACGCUGGCGGCAGGCUUAACACAUGCAAGUCGAACGGUCCUUCGGGAUAGUGGCGGACGGGUGAGUAACACGUGGGAACGUACCCUUAGGUUCGGAACAACACAGGGAAACUUGUGCUAAUACCGGAUAAGCCCUUCGGGGGAAAGAUUUAUCGCCUUUGGAGCGGCCCGCGUCUGAUUAGCUUGUUGGUGAGGUAAUGGCUCACCAAGGCUACGAUCAGUCGCUGGGCUGAGAGGAUGGCCAGCCACACUGGGACUGAGACACGGCCCAGACUCCUACGGGAGGCGGCAGUGGGGAGUCUUGCGCAAUGGGCGAAAGCCUGACGCAGCCAUGCCGCGUGGAUGAUGAAGGUCUUAGGAUUGUAAAAUCCUUUCACCGGGGACGAUAAUGACGGUACCCGGAGAAGAAGCCCCGGCUAACUUCGUGCCAGCAGCCGCCGUAA